This is a long non-coding RNA of Phascolarctos cinereus (koala), 1050 nucleotides long. RefSeq lists it as uncharacterized. NCBI's taxonomy places the organism in Eukaryota, Metazoa, Chordata, Mammalia, Diprotodontia, Phascolarctidae. The record is from RefSeq and is a predicted model, not a curated record.
AGAAAGGGUGACAAGAUACACAUUUUAACCUCCUAACAUCCUUAACGGGCCAGCCAAGAUCCCAGGAGUCUGAGCAAGCAGGAGACACCCAAUCUGAAUCCAUGACCGGGGAUUGGGUGGAAGGCAAAGUUUAGAAGAGUGAUUUAGGGUCAGGCCAUAAAUGUCAAAACACUAUGGCAUCCAAUUUACGGAUAGGCCAAAACUCUCCUUAUGAAAAUGCCAUGUGAUGGAUUAUUAUUAUUUCACAAAACACGGAAUCAAAGCUUUUAAAAAAUGAAAUGGUGUCAUGUUUGCAAAGUACUCUGCCGACGAAGUGGCAAAUUCACAUGAACUUGACGUCCUUGGUCUUAAAGGAUAUACAAUUGGCUCCAGAAAGUGCCAAACAGGGCGACAAAACGAAGGUUGUGGAGGAAGGAGACGAGGAAGAGAGACUGCCUAGAGACAGAGAGGAAAAGGACUGCCUAGAGACAAAGAGGGAAAGAAGUCAUGGCUAGUCUCGGAUUCUGCUGCCCCAGAGACAACCAAUCCUGAGAGGCCCUACCAACAAGCAAGAGCCCAGGGCUGGAUACAAAGGACAAAGACCAGAACCCAGAUCUUUGGACUACCAGGACAGGAAGUGGGGAGAGAAGAUAAACGCUCGGUAAUUGGAAAAACAAAAACAAAACUAAACAAAACAAACGAAAGAAUCAAGGAUGUAGGCAGGGCAGAGUCCCAAAGGAUUAGUGGAAAGACACUGAAGAAAGACAAGCUGCCUGCUUCACCAGUCAGACAUUUGUUUCUUCCUAGAGAUCUCAUACAGCACAAAACCAGAUCUAAAACUCCUCUUUCCUUAGGAAUUACGUACCCUACUCCACCUUUCCUCCUGGGAAAUUAGCUCUAAUUCAUCCCUUUACACAUCAAAAUGUAAACAAAUCAAUCUCUAGGGUUUGGUCUCUCUGGAGGAAGCUCUCAGGCAUACUCAUCCUUCAGGAGCCAGGAGGGAAAGCAAUACAUUUAGCUGACGGUACAACAGACACUUCUGACAUAUGGACUGGAGAGCAGGUUUGCUGG